Molecule: ribosomal RNA, 257 nt
Filed under: uncultured bacterium
Lineage: Bacteria
Description: partial 16S ribosomal RNA
Rfam family: Bacterial small subunit ribosomal RNA
Source: RNAcentral
AGCGAACGCUGGCGGCGUACUUAACACAUGCAAGUCGAACGAGGGUCGCUACGUGAGCAAUCAUGUGGUGGUUCUAGUGGCGUACGGGUGAGUAACACGUGGGUAACCUGCCCUGGAGACCGGGAUACCCUCCCGAAAGGGAGGCUAAUACCGGAUACGUUCCCCAGACCGCGAGAUCAGGGGAGGAAAGGUGGCGCAAGCUACCGCUCUUGGAGGGGCUCGCGACCUAUCAGCUAGUUGGGAGGUGACGGCUCACC